Molecule: long non-coding RNA, 9053 nt
Filed under: Malus domestica (apple)
Lineage: Eukaryota; Viridiplantae; Streptophyta; Magnoliopsida; Rosales; Rosaceae
Description: long non-coding RNA (MDOM_LNC006258)
Source: RNAcentral
AGAAUCCUCGUAAAAAAAACUUCAGGAUCUUCAUAAAAAGAGUCCAGCGAGAAUCAUCUGGCUUCUAAAUGGGACCAUGACCCCUCCCCUUCCCUCCCUAAGGUUUUUUCAGGAGACCAAAACAAAGGGUAAACGGGGAGAGAGAACGAGAUAGGCAAAGCAAAUAUGAAAUCAAGAGCCAGAGGCAUAAAAAUCGAGCCCGAUCUCGGAAAAUCCGGAUUCGGAAAGUGGGGAAACGCAUGCUCGCACUGCGGAAGCUCGAUCACGCCCAGAAAGACUGCAGGCUGCUAAAGAACAAUGUCGGUGCCGCAGACACCAUCCAAGUCAUCAACGACUCUCUGUUUCUCAGCGUCGACAACCCCCUCGAGUCCUGGAUCUUCAGCACCGCCGCCCAGUUCUACUGCUCGCCGCACAAGGGGAUUUUCGGGAAGUACACAGCCGGAAACUACGGCAAGGCCUACAUCGGCAUGAAGAACAGUUCGCUGGACAUUGUCGGGAAGGGCGACGUUGGGGUCAAGUUGCCGGGUAGGGCGAGGUGCAUCAUCCACAAUGUGAUGCACAUUCCGGGUUUGGUGCGGAAUUUGAUUUCCGUGGGGCAGUUGGGUAAGGAGGGUUAUGCUCUGCAAAUGUCUUGUGGGAGCUGGAAGGUACUCAAAGCUGGAGAAUUGCUUUUCACUUAUGAAUUUGAGCUUAUUCCGAACUUCGUCUCGUUUGUUACGUCCUCCAGAGAUUAGGGUUUAUGAUUAUGUUUCGGGCUGGGUUUAGGGUUUAUAACUACAUGGUUUGAUGAAGAAGAGCUUGGUUGGUUAGGUAAUUAGUACAAUGUCGUUGAUCGAAAUCGAGCUCUGUUAGAAUUAUGUGUUAGUGUUGAUAUUAGCUUUUGAACUUCAAAUUAACGAUGUUAAGUACGUUUUUAAUCGAAAUGAAAUCCCUACUCUUGUCAAGGCUUCCGUUUUUAUAUUGUUCAUGUUGUUCGAUUGUGAAUUGCUCCCACCAAUCGCAACUAUUAUUAUGUUUUGUUGCUUCCAAAUGGUAUACAAUUUUUGUAAUGGUAGAAUUUACCAGUUUUUAGGCGCGCAGCGCUCUUUGCUUGACCAGGACUAGCGUUUACAAGUGAGGGGAUUGAACCCUCUGAAUUUUUUGCUGCUAGUGCUAUUGUCCAAGCAAGUUCUGUGGCCAUUGCUGCAUUUUCAGCAACGGGUCGAGCAUGGAAUACUGGUUGUAAGUGCUGGGGGAAAUGACCGAUCCAUGGUUUGCUGGAACUGACUGAUCGAGAGUGGAAUACCCAUCUACUCCAUAGCCCCCGCCAACCUGAGUUACGCCAGUAGGGAGCCGCCUCCUCCAUGGGCAUUGUGCAGCCCGGUGGCAAACUUGGUGUAAAUUGCACAAGACGGCAAUUUGGUGACCAUGCGUACGUGGCUUGACUAUGCGCCGAUUGGCAAUGCAGCUGGGAAUUUUGUCCUCCUUGAAACAAGUUGGACUCGUAUUCUUCUCCUCAAGUUGGAGCCGAGCAAGAGAGUCUGCAACAGCCUUUUCGUUUUUGAGAUGAGUCGUCGGAGUGUCUUUAACAGCCCUUUUUUUCUUUUUAUACUUACAAAAGGAUGAAGGUGUUUACAAACGGAAAGCUAGCGAGCAUUCAGAGGUUUGCUCGAACAUAUUUUUAACACGAGGGAAUUUGUACGGACACAACAAUUAGGCAUCAAGUUAAUUAAAUUCAAGCACUGUAAAGUUUUGGUUAGAUAUGUUUGCUGCUCAAACAUAUGCAGGCAAACUCGAAACUCCUCACAAAAACCAUAAAAACAUAAAUGAAAAGCAUACGAAGAGGACUGCCGGUGUCACCCCGAAGCAAAGAUCCUGGUCCCGCGAGGGACUUGGCCUUGAAUCUAGCUUCCUUCAUGGUUAAUUUUGUGAGAGAGAGAUUGCACGAGUUUGUUGAUUCGAAAAUGCCAAAACACUUAUUUUGAACCUAUCGUAUAAGGGUUAAAUGUAGCAAGUUGAUGCAUAAAUGCGUCCUACUUGAGGUUUGUUGUACAAUUAGGUUUAAUUUUCUCUUCAAAUAAGGAAUUAGAUUGAAUCGGAAAACUAAUAUGAAUGAUAGAGCUCAAGGCAAUGUUGUUGAAACGUUUCCCAUUAACAACAAGGGAGGGUCUGAAAUUGAAUUGUAUAUCCAUCAAACAAGCUAUGAACAGAUGCUAAAUUAUACAAAGCAAUAAGCAGGUCCUAAUCUUUGGAGCAACCGCUGAAAAGGAGGCUCGUACGCUGCCGAAGUUGGCUGGCGGCUGCCUCAAGACAUACCCGUUUCUUUUACAAAUGUCAUUGUGAACUCUGAAAGGACUCAGUCACCUUUUCCCAAUAUCCGAUUGGUUUACUUUCCUACAAUCAAUAACCAUUAUAUUACCAUAUGUCAACUGGUAGAGGUAUUAUAAGAGAAAAAGUAUGAGUGCUUCUCUGUUUGAUGUCUCAGCCCGUGCCCCCAUGGUAUAGCUGGGAUGGAUAACGCUUCUCAAUUUGACAUUUUGUCCAAUUCCUACAGACUACGCUAACUGUUGGAACAAAAAAAUUCGGAUCCCUCAAUCUUCCAACAAGUAAAUCUUGUGACCAUGUUGAGAAGCCCACGACACCAUGCUUGCUUGCCAUCAACGAGGGAGGAGGGGGACCUGCAAGAAACACUUCAACGCUCAAGUCAAUCUUUGUUUAAAAUUGAUACACUAAAGUCAUUUAGUAGUACGGUCUAAUAGUAUUCAUCUUCACUUAUAAGUGAGAGAUCUUAGGUUUGAUUUUCGUCUAAUGCAUUAUUGGCCUUUUAUAGGCUUUCAAGUCUUACGCUCUAAGUCCCAUUUUCCUUGUACUUCUCCAUGUUUCACAUUUCAUGAAAGUGUUCGAUCAUGCUCCUUUAUUCUAGCUCCACUCCCAUAAAUGUAGGAUUCAUGGGAAGUGGCCCAUUGCUUGAGCCGUAAUUUGACCGAUGUGAGACCUUUUACUUUAUUCAACAAUUAAUGAAUCACUUUGCUCUAAAUUGGCAAUUUGUGACAGGAUUACAUUUAAAUUUAUCUCUUUACUAAGGGUUUCCCGGCUAGUGAGUAGGUCUGCUUUUUAUCAAUAAGAUUUGUAAGAAAGAAAAAAAAAGUAUUUUCUCAAUUUAAUCAUAACAGCUCAUUUUUCAUACCAUUUAGACCUCGUUUGGUAACUCGGAUUGUACUGACUAUUUCAGUCGGAUAGAAUAAAUAUUCAUCGGAUAGUACUGACUAAAUUAAUCAGACAUUUAAUGUAACAUUGGACUAAUGAUCGUAUUAUUUAUACUGACCGGAUAUGAAUUCAAUGUAAUUAUCUAAAAACCCAAAUACAUUUCAAAUCCUAAUCUUCAAAAUAAAAAGCAAAUAAAAAAGCCCCAAAUAAGAGCAAAUCUAUUAAAAAAACAAUUGCCCAGAUAAAUUUCUUAAUUUUCAAAUUCCAUCAUCAAUUCUCAACCAAGAGACUUCAUAACUGGUGUCCUCCUCUCCGAGAGCUGGAACUAGGGGCGAUGGUUUUGUCCCCACUUUGUGGUUUAACCCCGGCAUUUCAUCUCUAUUUUUGUUUCUCUGUCCUCUAUAACCUUCCUCAAGAGCUUUCGCUCCUUUUGCAAUAUAUAUCGCAGCUUUAAAAAAAAAAAAGAUUCAGCAACCCAGUUUAGGAAAACCCAGACCAGAUCACGGCGGCAAAAUGAUAAACCCAAAUCCCACUUAAAUUCAAACAGUCAAAUGAUCAGAUCUCCCAAAUAUCACGAUUAAAAUCUGAAACCCACUGCAGUACUGAAAAAAUCCCAAUUCGAAUUGACUGUUGUGAAACGAGAUUGAAACUCUCUUUUCGCGGUGGUUGGUGCGAGCGAGUUAGACGGCCGGUGAGAGAAUUUGUGGGCAUCUACAAUUAUCAGAUGGAGAGUAGGAGAUGAGGAAGGCUACAAGGAGAUGACUACGAGGAAGGCGACGAGGACUAGGAGAGCAGAGAUGGCGAGAGAAAGCGAUGGACAGAGAAGGCAAAGGGGAGGACGGCGAUGGCGAGAGAAGGUGAUAGGGAGGACGACGACGCAUAGAGAAGGCGAGAGAGAGAGGGCUGAGUUUGCGAGAGAGGAGAGCAAAACCGCCUAAUAAUCCAAGCCUUUUGGUUGGUUUUAUUAAGCAAUCGUAUAUAGGGGUGGGCAAACGGGUACAGGAACCGCGGGUAGGGGCGGGUAAUUCAGGUUCGGGGCGGGUACGGGGCGGUUCCAAUUUUUUGAGAAUAGAAACGGGGCGGGGCGGGGCGGGGCGGGUCGAUUAGGAUUUAAGGGGCGGGCCGAGUUCUAGGAUUUGAAAUAACGGGGCCCCGGAUGGCCCGUUUCUAACUAUAUACAAUCUCUAAACCUAAACCAUUAUCCAUCGAUUCCAUCCCACUCUCCAAAACCCACCCCCAAAUUUCAUUCUUUGAAAUCCCAAACAGGGCCGCCGAGACUCACACUCGUCUCCCCCUCGACAACGACGACAGUCACGACACCACAUCACCUCACCAUCGGAGAAGAUGAAGAUUGCGUAGCACUGACGACCCAAUCUUGUUCGGUUCUGCCUCUGCUCACUCAGAAUCCUAGCUAAAACUUUGAUUUUAUUUAUUUUUCUUAACUUGAAAUCAAACAUAUUGGUCGACUCUCAUCCCGAUUCCCGACUCUCACUUUUACUGUCUCUCAAACUCUCAGACGGUCAGACCUCAGUCCCUCGACAGUUACCUUCCCUCGACUGCAAAAAUCGAUGUUGAUGAUCAGAGUGUGGAGCCUGUUGAGGAAUUGGAGAAGAAGAGGAGCGAGGAGUUCUAAAAGAUUUUGGAGGUUUCGAAGGAGGAAAGGGACCGGGUUCAGCGAAUGCAGGUUGUUGAUCGAGCUGCGGCCGCGAUCGCGGCUGCUCGCGCCAUUUUGGAGGACAAGAAUAAUAAGUUGAGGACUGAGGCGGGGGAUCGCGGAGGUUCCGGUGGUGGGAGUGGCGGGGGUGGUGACGGAACAAUUGGGGCUCGUCAAGAAGGUAAAGAUUUGGACAUUGUGUUUGAUUUUUAAUUAGGCAAUUUGAAUUUCUGAUUGUUUGUUUAAAUAUGGGAUUUUAAUUUGGGGUAAUGAAGAUAAAGAUGUGUAUAGUUUUAUUUGUUAAUUGAAGUCCAGAAUUUCCAAGAACAAAAAAGUUAGAGUUUGAUAUCCUGCAUAUGUUUUGGAUGCUGAUGGGAUUAUUGUUUCACGGAGAUCGCAUUAUAUCAAAUUGUAAAAUGUAAAUGGCCUAAUUGUUUCACGGAUAUCCUGCAUAUGUUUUGUCGGUCAACAAUUUGUGUGUUGUGUGUUCACUCUGUUUAAUUGUGCUGCCUGCUUGUGUUCACUCUGUUUAAUUGUUCACUCUUUAUGCCCAUUUGCAAAUCUGUGCAAUCUGUGCAGUUUGCAAAUUUAUGAGCAUUUGAUUAUAGUGUAGUCGGAUUUAUGAGUGACUGUGAAUCUGCAGGGGCUGGGAAUGUGCAAAUGUGAAUGAGUGAAUCUACUAGGGCUAGGACAGAAUUUGAAUCUGUGCAAAUGUGAAUGAGUGAAGCAGGAGGUAUAUGCCAUUUUCAUGUUUAAUUCCAGAAAUUAAAGUGCAAUUCUAGUUAUCAUUUUUUGGGUUAGUAAGCUAUUUUCAUGUGUGUAUGUGUGUAUGUGCGUGUGUGUGUGUAUGUUCUGUGUGUGUGUGUGUGUGUGUAUGUGUGUGUGUUUUGUUUUACUUAUAUGUGCAGUUUUUAUAUAUGUGCAGUUUUGAUUUAUACAUGUGCAGUUUUGAUUUAUAAUGUGCAGUUUUGAUAUAUGUGCAGUUUGGUUUUAUAUAGAUCGAGCAUACAUUCUUUGAGGAGCAAGACUGAGCUAACUAUUAUGUGGAUUUCAUUUUUAGAUGUUGGAGGACGAUGUAAUAUUGUUAUUUUGGAUGUAUUGUUAAAACUUAAUUUAUGAACUUGGAUAUUAGACUUUGUAUUUAGAUUAGAUGUGAAUAAUGGUGAAUUUGUGCAAAAUCUGCAUAAAUGCAGUGUCACUGUGAUUGUGCAGUUGCAAAUUGCAAUCUGUGCAGUUUGCAAACUGUGCAGUUUUCAAACUGUGCAGUGCAGUUAAAAAAAAAAAAAAAAGGGUACCCGUGGACCCGGCCCGAACCGGCCCGUUUUAACCGGGCCAGGUAAUGUCCGGUUCCUAUACAAGAAAAUCCAAUCCCCGCUCCGUCCCGGCCCGUUUCGGGUAAUGUCAGGUUUCUACAAACUUAGGUUCGGCCCGGCUCGGCCCGGCCCGUGCCCAGCCCUAAUCGUAUAUCGUGUUAAAUAAGCAGGCAGGUUAAAUAAAUCCCGCGUUUAUUUAAUAUGAGUGGACACCAAAUACCAAAUAUUUGAGUUCGUAUAACCAAGGUCUUAAAUGCCGAUAUUAUUUCGCCGAUAAUAUUGGUUUUUUGCGUUACCGAUAUUAUAAUGGUUAUCCAAUGAGUUUUCGUCAAAAUAUCGCGAUAUUUUGGAUAUGUGCAAAUCGGAGAAGAACGCCAGAGCUUCUACAGCUCCAGCCGAUUACAAACGCAAACCUUAGACUCCGAUCUAAUUACCAACUUGAAGAGGAAAGAGAUAGGAGUAAGUUUAUACCCUUGGUUCGCCGUGAAAUGGCCGAAGGUGUUCGGAAAGCUCCUCAACAGUCACGGGUUCGCCGGAGUUGGGUGAGCUUUUCCCCGACCUGAUCUCGUUCCAAAACCUUGGAAAAUUACGAGUAUAACACUUAAUAACACACACCCAAGCUUCAACUAGAACGAAUAGAGUUAAACUCGAAGCUUACCUAACCGAAGAAAAUGAAGAAAACUCGCCAGAGGUUUCUGGGUUUUGUCGAUCUUGCAGAGACAAGAGGAAGAGAGAGAAAGACGAGGUUUUGAUGGUGAUGACGUCUACGGAACGAUGGUGUGGGUGCCGUGUACUAGGGUAAUCACGGGAGAGAGAGUGAGAGUGAUGAGAGGGUUUCGAGUGAGAAGAGAGUGUGGAGAGAAAGCAAGAAAGAGAAGAAGAAAGAAAUGGGUCUCGGGUAGGGGACAGUAAACAAAAAAGUUCUUCCCCAAAAAAAAUUGUCUCCUUUCUUCGGAAAGGUUCUUCCCCAAUAAAAAAAUAAAAAAAUAAAAAAUACAUCAAAGGGAUUCGAACCCCUCCCUUUGUCAACCACGCAUCUGGGCUUUAUCCAACUCGUUAUAGAUGUGUUUGUAAUUAUAAAUUCAGCCUGUAAUAUUUAUAUGGUUGCUAAGAUGUUUGCAAGGCUUGCAAGCUAAUAUUUAUUAUUUAGGAUAAAUUUCUAUAUUUAAAAAAAAAAAACCAAGGGGAUUCGAACCCCUCCUAUUUUACUCCUUCAACACCUUGACCACCAUAUCACUUAUGUUUUUGUAAAAAUAUGCUAAAAUACACUUACUCUACACAUAGAGAUGACGAAGAUAGUGAAAAUUUUGAACCUCAUAGGAACUCUAAGUGGUACUAAGUCACUUAUGUAUCUUACCAUGCAAUGUAUAAAGUGUAAAAUAUUGUACUAAUUCAUUAUAUAUAAAUGAUUAUGGUGUGUUUAAAUUUCUUUCAUUAAUUACUACAUAUUUUCUACACUCACAAUGUUUGCCAGCUCGCUAAAUAAUCAACUUAAAUCAGUUAAAUCCAUCAUGCAAUGCAUUUCCUUCUAAUUUUUUGUGAUAAACUAAUAGAUAAUUGACUAAAUAAACAUCCUGCAAAGUUUCAAUAAAAAUUUCCAAGUUUUUCUUACAAUUUCAGUGGUUUCCAUAUUAUUUUUAUCGAUAUCGAUAACAUCCCGAUAUUUCUAUCGAUAUUUCCGUGUUUUUGGAUUAUCGAUAUUUCCGAUAUUAUCGAUAUUUAUAUCUUGCGUAUAACUUGUCUUAUUCGAUCCUUUAUCUGAUUUGCCAAACAAGAUCUUAUUUAAUACGAGUGAACACCAAACAUUCGAGUUCCUAUAACUUGUCUUAUUCGAUCCUUUAUCCGAUCUACCAAGAUCAUAGUAGUUCUGUUAAACAAAUUAUUUUAUUAAAAGACAACCCAAUCCAAAACAAAUAGACACACAAAAAAAAAACUAAUAAAAAGAGCUUGAAAUGAAAAGAACUAUAGACUUUUCAUUAAAACUUUCCAAAAAAAUUCACCGAAAGCCCAAAACAUAGGGCAAAAGGGAGGAAAGAACGAGAGAGGCAGAGCAAAUAUGAAAUCAAGCACCAGCGGCAUAAAAAUCGAGGCCGAUCUCGGAAAAUCCGGCUUCGGAAAAUGGGGAGACGCAUGCUCGCACUGCGGGAAGCUCGAUCACACCCACAAAGACUGCACGCUGCUGAAGAACAAUGUCGGUGCCGCAGACACCAUCGAAGUCAUCAACGACGCUCUGUUUCUCAGCGUCGACAGCCCCCUUGAAUCCUGGAUCUUCAGCACCGCCGCCGAGUUCCACUGCUCGCCGCACAAAGGGAUUUUCGAGAAGUACACCGCCGGAAACUACGGCAAGGCCUACUUCGGCCUGAACAACAGUUCGCUGGACAUUGUCGGGAAAGGCGACGUUGGGGUCAAGUUGCCGAGCGGGGCGAGGUGGAUCAUCCACAAUGUGAAGCACAUUCCGGGUUUGGCGCGGAAUUUGAUUUCGGUGGGGCAGUUGGGUAAGGAGGGUUAUGCUCUGCAAAUGUCUAGUGGGAGCUGGAAGGUACUCAAAGCUGGAGAAUUGCUUUUCACUUAUGAAUUUGAGCUUAUUCCGAACUUCGUCUCGUUUGUUACGUCCUCCAGAGAUUAGGGUUCAUGAUCAUGUUUCGGGCUUUGGGUUUAGGGUUUAUAACUACAUGGUUUGACGAAGAAGAGCUUAGUUGGUUGGUUAGGUAAUUAGUACAAUGUCGUUGAUCGAAAUCAAGCUCUGUUAGAAUUAUGUGUUAGUGUUGAUAUUAGCUUUUGAACUUCAAAUUAACGAUGUUAAGUACGUUUUUAAUCGAAAUGAAAUCCCUACUCUUGUCAAGGCUUCCGUUUUUAUAUUGUUCAUGUUGUUCGAUUGUGAAUUGCUCCCACCAAUCGCA